GUGUCUCUUGAGAAUUGGUCUGUUGAAAUCUUAGUCUUUAACUUGGUUUUUAACCAAUCUUUCAUUACCACUGGUCUUCAUUUAUAACCAAGUUCCAAUCAAAUCAUACCCUAAAUGUGGUCAUCUUAAAAUACAUUCAUGGGAGUUCUCGUCGUGGUGCAGCAGAAACGAAACUGACUAGGAACCAUAAGGUUGCGGGUUCGAUCCCUGGCCUUGCUCAGUGGGUUAAGUAUCCAGCAUUGCCAUGGCUGUGGCGUAGGCUGGCAGCUGUAGCUCCAAUUAGACCCCUAACCUGGGAACUUCCACAUGCCAUGAGUGCAGUCCUAAAAAGCCAAAAAAAAAAAAAAAAAUGAGGUGGCAGGGAAGGUGUGUCAUUUUCAAGACUGAAAAGGCCAGGUGGUUGGGGAGAAGUCAGCAGCCAUGUUGUGAGGACACUCAAGCAGCUGUGUGCAGAGGUGCGUGGCGAAAGGCAGGAAUGCCUCCUGCCAACAGCCAUGGGAGUGAGUCACUUUAGCAGCGGGUUAGUCUAACCACCCCUGAGAUUGCAACCUCGGGAGAGUCCCUGAGCCAUGGUUUCCAACUAAGCACCUCAGACUCCUGACCCAUAGAGACUGUCAGACAAUGAAUGUGUAUUGUUUUAGGAUAGCAAGACUAAGGCGGCCUCCUUAGUAUUUGGGGGUGGCCUGUUACACAUCAGUAGAGAACUAAUACACUGAACUUUGUGGUAUCACAUCAUUGUUUUUCCUAGCAAUGAUCUUCUCCAGUCCUUUGUGUCCAAAUUUAACCAUCUUUUCAGGCUCCCAGAUGACCUUCUUCAGAGCUGUCCCUGGACCUCCAAGGCCCCGAUGUUCAAAAAUCUGUAAAUAACUGUUUCUUCCUUAGACUUCCCAAAGAACUUUGUAUCUGGUUCUAAUUCACAUGGUCUAAAACCAGCAUGGCCAAAAGUAAGACCAAUUCAUCUACCACCCAGCUGAUGAAAAUGUAUACUUCUGACGUCACCGUUCUACUGAAGUUGCUGUUCCUCAAAUAGGCCAGGCGUGCUCCCCCAGGGCCACUGUCCCACCCCUGCCUAUCACCGUGAUUCAUGCCCUCACCUCCUUCAGGCCUGUGCUUGAAUGUCACCUUCUCAGCAGAGCCUUUCCUAACAACCCAUUUGAAACCACCCGGGCCCUCACUCCUUCCCAUCAAACACCCACCCAGUCCUCCCUGUCCGUUACUGCAGUUUUAUUUUCUCCACAGCACUUACCACAAUCUAACACAUAUUUUACAUAUGCCAUUCACCAACUGUCUCCCCGCUUCCAGACUGUGGGCCCCAGGAAGGUGAACAUUAGGUUCAGCUGUUCAGUGCUAUGUCCGGAGCCCCUAGAACAAUGCACAGCAUGUAGCACGUGCUCAAUAAAAACCUGAAUAUAUGAUCCAGAUUGUGGUAUUUCAUACGCCACAUAAUGGAUGUAAUACCAACUAAACAUGGUGAUAUUUCAGGUGUCUUUAUGUCUACAAGCAUUUAAAGGAGGCUGCAUUAAUUUCCUCCUUGAUUAGAUAAAAACCAAACCAAAUCUUGACACAUCCUAAAGUCGGUAAUCUUUGAAAAAGAAAACUUAAGAAUUGUUGCAUUCUUACUUUUUUUUUUGGCGGCACCCACAACAUGCAGAAGUUCCUGGGCCAGGGUUCGAACCCACACCACAGAAGUGACCCAAGCCACAGCUAACAGCACCAGAUCCUCAAUCCACGGAGCCACCAGGAACUCCAAGAAUUGUUACAUUCCUAGGGGUAGCCAAAAUGGUCCUAUCAU
Molecule: long non-coding RNA, 1792 nt
Filed under: Sus scrofa (pig)
Lineage: Eukaryota; Metazoa; Chordata; Mammalia; Artiodactyla; Suidae
Description: lncRNA (ENSSSCG00060008321.1)
Source: RNAcentral